Molecule: long non-coding RNA, 1067 nt
Organism: Oreochromis niloticus (Nile tilapia)
Lineage: Eukaryota; Metazoa; Chordata; Actinopteri; Cichliformes; Cichlidae
Exons: 2
Source: RefSeq, a predicted model, not a curated record
GUAAUCGCACUUAAAAUGCGUACUUCAAGCGUGCAUACCCUGAAUUGGGACACAGCUCUGGUCUCAGGUACGCGCAGGUGCGUUCCCCACCUCAGUGAGGCUCGCAGGUGGAAGCUGCGGCUUCAGGCAAAACCACACCCAUCACGGCGGUGAUGUCACACUGUUUAAACCUGAGGAGCUUCACAAAUCAACAUUAAUCCUCAGACCUGCAGCAGCCGUGAGAGGAGCGACACACAGCUUUCAGUCACAGAUCAACGUUUUCCAUCAUGUCCCUCUCAUUUCAUCAUUUAUUGAUCCGCUCAACGCUGCAAACAUCUGCACAGAUGUGAGCCACUCCUCCGCUGGACCAUCAGAGCGCUGGAGACACGGCGAGGAAUCUCUCAGUGAUUAGAAAUCAGUCCUGCGGCUCAGUGCAGAUUCAUAUCAGCUGGUUCAGACCCAACUGAAAUGUGCGUUAUUGCCGCGUGUCCCACAGGGUGAAACCGUGAGCUCUCUCCAGAUCUUCAAACCUUCUUGUUUCAAACAGUGAGCGUGUGGGGCCACAGUUCAUCAUCACAGACCAUCAGGUGCUCCUCACACACAGAGGAGGACAGAAACACCUGGACCAGCAGGUGUGACUGUCUGAAGUAAUGCACUCAAGCAGCACGGCUGUACGCAUGCUCACCUCCACGACUCCAUCACUGAAGACAAAGCCAAUCAGCUGAGCUGAAUCCACCUGACACAAAGAACAAAGGUCAGAGUUCAUAGACGGGCCCACAGAACCUUCACACCUGAGCCGUUGAGGGCAUCUGUGAACAUCCAAAGAUGGAGCUGUGACUGUUUUGACUUCUCACACUCGAGUUCGUGCUCAUCUUCAUCAGCUGUGUCACACAGGAACAGAGCAGGAAAAACAGAAAGAAUCUGCAGUUUAAAGAAAACAGAAUGGCACACAGACACCACACUGACAUCCUGACCCGGCAUUUAUCAGAGCUGGAAACCAUGAUGGAAGAUGGACUGGUCCUUGCUCUGUUGGGCUGCAGGCACCUUAGGCGUGCACCAGUCUGGAGGCUCUCUGAGCCCCUCAGUGA